AACGCACAUUGCGCCCUCUGGUAUUCCGGAGGGCACACCUGUUCGAGAGCCAUUUCAAAACUAAGGCUUCGCCUUGCGUUGGCGGGUCCCCGAUGAGGGAGCGCUGAAACUUGGAUGGCGCGGCCUGCGACCAGCGAUGCAGCGAAAUGCGUGGCGACUCGCAGGGCGCUGCCCCUGAAUCGACAGUUUGGCCUCGGAUCAGGUGGGGCUACCCGCUGAACUUAA
Molecule: unclassified non-coding RNA, 225 nt
Filed under: uncultured Ascomycota
Lineage: Eukaryota; Fungi; Ascomycota
Description: sequence contains 5.8S rRNA gene, ITS2, 28S rRNA gene
Source: RNAcentral